GGGGAUUUAGCUCAGCGGUAGAGCACUUGCCUAGCAAGCUCAAGGCCCUGAGUUCAGUCCCCA
This 63-nucleotide transfer RNA is filed under the name Rattus norvegicus (Norway rat). It matches the Rfam family "tRNA". Rfam says of the family: Transfer RNA (tRNA) molecules are approximately 80 nucleotides in length. Their secondary structure includes four short double-helical elements and three loops (D, anti-codon, and T loops). Lineage: Eukaryota; Metazoa; Chordata; Mammalia; Rodentia; Muridae. The record is from Rfam by way of RNAcentral.